AUGUCGCAUUUUUGGUGGGGUGACGAAGACAAUCAGAAGAGAAUGCAUUGGAUGGCAUGGUGGAAGAUGUGUGUACCAAAAUACCAAGGAGGAAUGGAUUUUCAAGACAUACAUUGUUUCAAUCUGGCCUUGUUAGCCAAACAAGCGUGGCGCCUGCUUGAUAACCCUGAUUCACUAUGUGCCACAAUUUUGAGAGCUAAAUAUUUUCUAGAUGGAGAUUUAAUGAAUGCGAGUCUGAAAAAAGGAUCCUCUUUCACGUGGCAAAGCAUUAUGGCCAGAGUGGAUUCUCUCAAAAAAGGUUAUAUUAGAGUUGGUAAUGGAUAG
RNAcentral lists this ribosomal RNA (324 nucleotides) under Triticum aestivum (bread wheat). Its description in RNAcentral is "partial small subunit ribosomal RNA". Lineage: Eukaryota; Viridiplantae; Streptophyta; Magnoliopsida; Poales; Poaceae. The record is from RNAcentral.